Molecule: long non-coding RNA, 450 nt
Organism: Tripterygium wilfordii
Lineage: Eukaryota; Viridiplantae; Streptophyta; Magnoliopsida; Celastrales; Celastraceae
Exons: 2
Source: RefSeq, a predicted model, not a curated record
UUCUACAUAUAUCAUACUAAAGUGGGGACAAGUUUGGUAGCAUUGAAAGCAACAAACAUACUACUUUAUUGUCAAGUUGCAAUCUGAUCCUAACAAAAAGUCUCUUUCUUUUUUUUCCCUUUGAGAAAAAGCCCCAAUCAAUCAACCUCCUCUCCUCUCCUAUCCCCUGCAAGACAACAUUUCCAGGAGCUGCGGUUCGCUGUUGCAUUCGAGGCCGUGAGCUCUGUUAUGGUGUCCAUGACCAGAGCACUAGUGUUAAGCUUCUUGUCCAUUCACAGACAUAGAACACCAGAUGUAGGUGUGCCUAUGUUUUGAGUUCUUGGAUAAAAAUGCAGUUUACUCUUUUUUCUCUCUUUAACUGGGUGUGUUGAUGUAAUUCAGAUUUCAGCAAGUUUUGCAAGAUCCUUCUGCAUAUCAAUGUAAAAGAAUAAUGAAAUCUUUGGGUAACAA